RNAcentral lists this long non-coding RNA (2129 nucleotides) under Rattus norvegicus (Norway rat). RNAcentral describes it as "long non-coding RNA NONRATT005661". Lineage: Eukaryota; Metazoa; Chordata; Mammalia; Rodentia; Muridae. The record is from RNAcentral.
UGAGCCUGGGCUAUGCCCUCAUGCUGUGCCCUUUUGUUGUGGUCCUGGGUGGCAUGUUCUUCCUUGCCACUGCUCUCUUCUUCCUCAGCGAUCGUGCCAAGGCUGAGCAGCAGUGAGUAGGGUUGGGUGGGCACCCUGUGAAGCAGGGACUGUGACAGCUUUUACCCUAGUGUGGAGGGGAUAGUAAGUUACUUUGUACCUCCAGGGCUAGGUGACCUGCUGGAGGCCAGGGCUAGCUCUAAAAUGCUUGACUCCAAGUCUCCCUAUGCCCCAGCUAGUAUGUUGAAGGCCCAGCCAACUGUGGCCCAGGCUAGUAGAUGCCAGUCUCUUUUGUGGUAGCUCCAGACAUGGGUUUUUCUCUCGAGUUUCUCUCAGGGUUUUAGAGCUGGGAGACCCAUCCCCUUCUCUCACUUUCUGACUUCUUUCUUCUCUUUUCUCUAUUCCUUUCUCUCUCUUCUCCCUACCCCUGGGCUUUCCCACCUCCCCCUGGGGCUGACGAGGUCCCUGCCCAGCGCCUCCGGUCUACCGGCCCCAGUGAUUCGAUGUGCCAGAGCCGUGCCUGGGCCCAGUCCCCGCUGAUGUGCCACCCUGACCCCCGUCCGUCUCUCCCUCAGGGUGAACCAGCUGGUGAUGCCGCCUGCAUCCGUGAAAAUCUGAGGUGGUGCCGCUGGGACAGCAAUGAACUGCAGUUUAGAUUGGGAGAGGUUCUCCAGCAUCCUGGACCUGCAGGACGGUCGCAAAGCUUCCUGUGUGACUCACAGUUGGGUACACACCCUCUUUGGCCUAGGACUGCCAGGACUGAGUGGCCCUAUCUUCAAGAAGCUGCAUCCUCAGUGAACCUAGAAGGCUGUGUGUGCUGGAGUCACUCAGUUGGACACAACUCCAGCCCUGGUUGGGGGCUGAAGGGCCAAGAUAGAAGCAGCCACCCUGCAGUGGGUAUUUGGGGAGAUUCUGGUCCACCCUUAGCUCAUGUGAUCUUGAGGGAGCCACUAUCCUCCCUAGACAGUGGAACCAAGGAGCUGGAGCUUCCUCCAUUGUGUGCCAUGCAUGGCACCCUCCACAACUUUGAAGAAACAGGCCCGGGGCUGUACACAGAAGACACCGCUCAGGUCUCAGGACCUCAGUUCCGGUUCUGAGGUCUGCCUAAGGCUCUGGUGGACGGGGACCACUUCCCCACUUGUAGGCGCUAACCUUGGGAACAGCAAAUUCAGCCUGGCAUGCGUAGCUGGGCACACACCUCUGGGUGUUCGUGGGUGGGACAGUCUCCCAGGAGGAUACUGUCUCUGCUGUCUUCAGCUAGUUCUUUGCCUGGAAGUUUUUCUCAGAUGGGAUCACCCUCCUUAAAGGAAGCUGUAGCCCUAGGGGGUGAAGGCCCCAUGGUAGGCUGAGAAUUUGAGAACCUCCCUUCCUCAUCCCAGCCCCCAAACUUCUGCAGUCCCCCAGAAGUCACCUCCUCCUCCAGGAUGAGCCCUUCCCAAUGAGGGGUCAGAUAGGAUGCUAAAGGACUCACCAGCUGUCCACACUACUCCUCGGCCUAGGUGUGAAACUGCUGGAGAUUGCCCACCAGUGCCUGUAGGUAUCAUACCCCAACUGACUCUCUUGGGGCCAGGCCUUCACCCCAGCCUUUGAUCACACUAUUCCCAUAUACAUACAACCCUCACCCCCCUGCAGCCACCCUAGUCACCUUUGGGCACUUACCCCAGCUUUACUCCUUGCACGCUGUAACCAAGGUGGCUCUGGUCCUGGGGUACCAUUGUAACUUAGGGAAACUUCCAGAACCAGCCAGCGUGGACAACAGUCUCUGUGGCUGUACCCCACUUGCUGUGGCUUCAGUGGUGUGAUACCCACCCCAACAAGUUCUGGGGCACCCUGGGGGUUUGGACAUGGGUUUGCAGAGGGUGCUAUCCCUAAAGACCAGCCUGGCUCCCACCCUAGCCCCAGCAGGGGCCCUAGCAAUGUUUUCUUGUUGUACAAGAACCAGGUCCAAGUGUUGCCUCCUCUUCCUUCCGGAAGCUGAACUGCUCCUUUAUUUUUUAGAGCUGCUGAUUGUGAAUCUCAGAGUCUUAAGAGAGAAGCCAAAUAUAUAUUCCUCUUGUAAAUGAAGAAAUAAACCUAUUUAAAUGUUUUGG